CACGUCCUGGGCUGAAGGCAGCGCUAAACCGCUGAGCCACCAGGGCUGCCCCUCUCUUAAUUUUCAAACAAUUUUAUGAAGCAGGCUUUACCUUCCCCAAUUUCUCAAUGAGGAAACUGAGUCCCAUGUAGGUAAAGUGAUAAUAUCCAAAGCCCCUGAGAUAGUAAGUAGCAAAGCUGAACAGAAAAUAACUCAGAGUUCUAAUCUUUAGACUUCUAGUCAUUGCUUCCCUAAAGUAGCACUCAACACUGUGUAUCUAUGCAGAGCUCUACUUUUACAAAGUAUUUUCACAGGGACUUCAUCAUGUGGUCCUCUCAGCAGCCUAAUGAAAGAGGCAGAGCAGGAAUUGCACAGUAGAGCAAAUGAAAAAGUUGGUAAGCUUUCCUACCUGAAGUCACCCAGCCAGAGACUGUCAGUGCAUCCUGACUUGCAGUUCAGGGACCAUUCCUUCACAACUAACUGAUUUCAUGGCUAGGGUGAGCAGGAGAAAGGACAAGUGCAAAUGGGGGAACAUGCACUUCUAUUUCUUCCUGGAUCUGUACCUGCAGGUAACAGUUCAAACCAUGAGACCUGAAAAGGAGAGGGUCUGAGGUACAAACCAGCCUGUUCUCCCAGCAGCUUCCUUGCUUUUUUAGAGCAUCAGGAAUGGUGGGGCUUCCUCACAUCUUCCCCACAUCCCAAAUCACCCUGGACCCCUUUGCUUAGAUCAAGACCAUGAAAUUGGAUGGUGAAUUUAAAUCACGUCCCCAGCUCCCAGCGCUAACUUGUCUAGCUUGUCAGUGGAACUGCCACAGCCUCCCCUGUUUUGCAUGCCCUCUGCAAAGAAGAGAAGACAGAAAGAUAACCCCAGGGUGAGCAGGAGAACCACUUUGGGAAAUGUAUUCCCGCAGCACCCAGGAAGGAGCGGGCUAAUUGGUUCCAGAGGCGGCGGCAGCAGCGGCCUGGGCAGAUAUUAUCAUUUACUUGAAAAACUUAAAAAAAAAAAAAAGGCAGAGAAGUCAGAGAUGGGCUGUACCAGAAGAAAGACACUGAGAAGAAGGGAGUUCUCUGAGUAGCUGUGUCAGCUGGGAGCUGUUUAUUUAUGGCUGCAAAUGUGUGUGUGCGAGGGAGAGGGAGAAUUGAUCUUUGCCUGGAUUUAAAGAUGGAGCCGAAGGCGCUGGAGGGAAUUUGGGUUUGUGCGUCUGGCGCAGACCCUGCGCGCCAAAGGGGGCCGCUUGGCACCGAGCCCGAGGUCUUUCUUUCUCGCACCCCUCACCUCGAGACCCUGCAGGAAUCCGCGGGCCCAGGAGCGGCCUGGCUGACCCACCUGCCCCGGGCCAGGCUGUCGAGAAAGGCUUCGUGGAGGGGGCCAACUCGUCCCCGUCUUUAAAAUGAGCACAAUAAAAGGGGGCAAAUCCUCCAACGCAAACCUGAUCGCUUGUCACAGAAGCAACUUGCCAUGAAAUCCGCUAAUGCGCCGCGACUCGCCCACCGGGCAUGUAGCCACAGCAAAUUAUUGCUCAUUUGAUACCGAGAAUUCUAUUGACCAUCACUUUCAUUGGAGAGAGAAUUCUAACUACUCCGCUGCUUUAUAGUCAGUCAAAGCUAAGGCUGAGGACGUUGCUCUGCUAAAACUGAAGUAAAUUGAGCCCUCUGCCUCCAGGAAUUGAUGGAGAUGUGUUCAUUACAUUGGGCCACGUGAACAUGCAUAGAAAUCUGCUUUUUACUCUGCCGACCUUGCCCCCAUUCAAGCAAAAGGUCGGCCCCUUUGGAACAGAUCUGCCGACUUGGAGAGCUAGGCAUUCGUUUGCCUCUCCUAGAUCCCUUCUGGCAACUUCUUUCCAGCUCUGACCAGGGUUGGGGCAAUCGAAAUGAUGCAAUGGAAGCCUGCUCCUGUGGCCAAUCUUGUGCUCAAAAAACACCCCAAUUUGGACACCUGCAGAAAUAAUUAAACCUCCCCAUCCCCACCAAAAUAAAAAUAAACCUCCUAAAAUAUCCAGAUGAGUAACUUUAUGAUCUGGAUGUGAUUUCCUAGAUUAAACUGACCCCCCACACACACCAAGACCCCACCUCAUCAGAGAGGGCUAAGUAAGGGAGGAGGGAGCUCUGAGAUCAGCGUCUGUUCUCUUUAACGGUUGGCAAUGGGCGUCCAGAAUAGAAUGACAGGCCAGCGAAUCCUGCACCCACACCAGCAGUGGUGCAGGUGGAAGCUCAAGCCUAGUGAAGGUCUGACCUUUGACCCUCACCCCCCGCAGCUCUGGGGCUCUAAAGGCUGGAGACGGAGGCCAGUCGGGAAAUGAGGUUGGAGAGAAAGACCCGGAGAGGAAUGGAGAAGCCGGGUUUGUAGGUGGCUGAAUUAGCCUUGACACGGGAAGGAACUGGAACUACCAUACAGCAGAGGACACGCGACGCCCCAAACCUCCAUCCGCGGACCUCCUCCCUAAGGCGGCUCCUCAGAACCCGCCUGCUCAGGACCCCUGCGUCCUCUCCUCUUCCCUUUGGACGUGUUCGGGAAAGGUGCCCGACUCAAGGGUGCGUUGGCCCGGCGGGACAGGGGAGAGAGCGACGCGGAGCCCGACACCCGGCCGGCGAAAGCUAAGCUGGUGGGGCUCGACCACUGCUAGCCCGAUACCGGCGCCCAGCCGCGCCUGUCGGAUUUCCAAGUAACAAGCAGUCCACGCCUGCCUGCUUCACCUUAAGCCCUCGACCCCAAGAAGAGGCCAGACGACCUUGGAGAAGCCAUGUCCCUGGGGAUCCCGUAGAAGAGGUGGUUAGGUUGGGUUUCAUUUCCGAAACCUAUAGGAGAUAGGUCCUCUCGGUUCCAGAAUAAAAGGAGAGCCAAUUAAUGGCUCUAACAAACCUGCCCACGGUGUAGGCAACCCCGGAAAGAGUGCCAGCUCCAAAUCGGAAGGCACAUGAGACUCUAAAGGACCUAGCUCAGUAGUUAUUUUCCUAAUGGUGCUAAGUGCCGGUGAAGCUAUUCACACUCUCUCGAAGGCCGUGCUCUGUGAACCCUAGCGCGGUUGGGAGCCACUUUGUUCUAGAACAAGGCAGUGAACGAGUGGGAGGGUGUUCUGGGCACGCUGGUCUCUGACCCAAGAACAGCAACUAAGAGAUGAUGGUAGAUUCUAACUGGACUA
Canis lupus familiaris (dog) is the source of this 3119-nucleotide long non-coding RNA. RefSeq lists it as uncharacterized. The transcript is spliced from 5 exons. Lineage: Eukaryota; Metazoa; Chordata; Mammalia; Carnivora; Canidae. The record is from RefSeq and is a predicted model, not a curated record.